Molecule: long non-coding RNA, 287 nt
Filed under: Theobroma cacao (cacao)
Lineage: Eukaryota; Viridiplantae; Streptophyta; Magnoliopsida; Malvales; Malvaceae
Description: long non-coding RNA (TCAC_LNC000004)
Source: RNAcentral
CCUCAAAAUUACAUAAUUGGGCAAAACUGAGUCCACUACCGUAGAUUUCCCUGUAUUCACACCCCCAUUUCCAGGAACUCCAUCAAAAUAAACAUAAAAGUAGGUUCAACCUAUACAAUAAGCUCACAAUGCCCACCAACUUAAAGCUUCUCUUUAAUCUCAACCCUUUCAACCAGAGCAAAUCAGCAUCAGGCAACCCCUUUUAACGACUCUCCCAACCUCGGAGACCAAUGGAGCAUCAGAAUCAUCUGUCAGUACACACUUUCUCCAAAAGAAAACAAACAAGC